Non-coding RNA from Arachis ipaensis, 354 nucleotides. NCBI's taxonomy places the organism in Eukaryota, Viridiplantae, Streptophyta, Magnoliopsida, Fabales, Fabaceae. The record is from RefSeq and is a predicted model, not a curated record.
AUUAUUCUCCUUCUUGGAGCCUAAUCGUUCUCAUAGUACCUUGGUGGCUGGCUACUUUAGCAAGCAUUUAGUCUAAAGUUUGGAGAUUGAUAAGUUUCAAAAUAUGGAAAAGGAAUGGAACUAGAAAUGUCAGUGAUUUCCAGCUGUAGCUCCUUUGUUGUGAUUUCGUCGAUGAAGGACAAGUGUUCUCUUUGCUGGAGACUUAGGAAGAGAAUGUCCUUUUGGAACAUAAGUAUGGAAUCUAAGUCGAGCUUCUAUCUUUAUGAGGGCCUAAAAGUUUGAUUCAGCUUUGUACAAAAGCAUGCAUGAAGCACCUUGCUAUGGUGAAGAAUCUUUAAGUCAAUUUUCCAGUUG